GGGGAGAGGGAGGGACCCUAGAUAUCAGAGCUUGAGAUUAACUGUAGUCUCCCGAACAGUGGUUUUAAAGCUGUCCUGUGAAUGGGUGUUCCCCUGGGGGUUGUCAGCAGUUUAGACUUGUGAAGCCUCACCACCCUGCCAAAGACCUUGACCUGACCUUCAUCAAAGCUGCUGCAGGUCCAUCAGCUUCGUUCCCCUGGAACUAAAGAGCCUUGUAAGAACUUCACGAGGACCAUUCAUCCAGGGAGUCCUCAACCUCAGUUCUCACAGACAGAAGAUGGAGAUCUGAGAGGCUUACAGGAGAAAAAGUUAAGGAGCCCGUCAAGAAGAGGAUGGACAGACCAAAGAAAACAGCCCACGGCAGCAGACACCUGAGAUACAGGGCUGUUCGAGACUGGGGCAGAACAUGGCUUUCCUCAUUGGACCCUGAGACAAGGAGAUGCCCUCUGGCCCCAGAGAGCACCCCAGCUGAGCCCACGUGGUGCAGAAGUCCCCAGGAGGCUGACCAGGGAAACCCGUGGACCAUCUCACCUCCACAGAGUGACUUUUCCUGUUAACUCCCAGACUCCAGGCCAACUGGAACCUGGCUCAUUAGCGCCGUGCAACCAAACAGCAGCUGGGGAGGAGGUCUCUCUGGUACAUGAUUUUCUUUCUCUCUCAGCCACAGAACUUCCUCCAAGGAACAGGCACUCAACCUUCCGUUCUCAGAAGCGAAAACAAGCCGAGUCACACAUUUCUAUGAAUUCGCUCAGAAAGCCGAUGAUCAGUAAUAACACUAAACACGAGCGUCAGACUCAUCACAGAUCUCACCUGGAAGGGAGCCUCCCGGGGAAGAGGGGAGCUCCCGUCUCAGCUAAGUCACCAUCUCAGUGGGGACAAGGAAGAGGAGGGGGUCAUUCAUCUCUUGCAAAGAGUAUAGACCAGGGCUCAGGAAGGUCAUGGUCUUCUCCCAGCCCCACCGCCCCGCUGUGGCUCAGGCAGGGCUUGCUCUGUGAAUGGGAAACUGAAAGCUCUGGGCCAGAGGGUUCUUAGCUGUCAUGAUAGGUCCCAGGUUGGUGGAUGACCGAUUGAAAUAAAGUGUUUCUACAAUGGGAGUGGUACCUCCA
RNAcentral lists this long non-coding RNA (1106 nucleotides) under Bos indicus x Bos taurus (hybrid cattle). RNAcentral describes it as "lncRNA (ENSBIXG00000010471.1)". Lineage: Eukaryota; Metazoa; Chordata; Mammalia; Artiodactyla; Bovidae. The record is from RNAcentral.